GAUGAACGCUGGCAACGUGGAUAAGGCAUGCAAGUCGAAUGCUACCCUUCGGGGAAAGCAUGGCAAACGGGCUAGUAACACGUGGGAAUCUGCCCCAAAGUUAGGGAUAACCCGGAGAAAUCCGGGAUAAUACCUGAUGCACUCUUCGGAGUAAAGAUUUAUCGCUUUGGGAGGGGCCCGCGUACUAUCAGCUAGUUGGUGAGGUAAUGGCUCACCAAGGCUAUGACGGUUAGGGGAUGUGAGAGCAUGAUCCCCAGCAUUGGAACUGAGACACUGUCCAAACACCUACGGGUGGCAG
Molecule: ribosomal RNA, 298 nt
Filed under: uncultured Parcubacteria group bacterium
Lineage: Bacteria
Description: partial 16S ribosomal RNA
Rfam family: Bacterial small subunit ribosomal RNA
Source: RNAcentral